This 2146-nucleotide long non-coding RNA is filed under the name Mus musculus (house mouse). RNAcentral's name for it is "long non-coding RNA chr2:70007398-70009544". Lineage: Eukaryota; Metazoa; Chordata; Mammalia; Rodentia; Muridae. The record is from RNAcentral.
UUGGAGAUAAAUGUCAAGGUCUGGUUUAUGCUGUUUUGUUUUUUGUUUUUCAUUCUUGUAGAAAAAUUUCCACAAAGGAUAAUUUGCCUUUUGACUUUAAUUACUUUGCUUACCAUUUAAAAAAAAGAAAUUCUUAUGACACAAGUUUGAACUUGGUCUUUAUCUUUUUAUUGUUUUUAAACUUUGAAUUUCCACUCCAUCCAAUAUCUGUUAAAUACUUUCAUAAGGCAUAGUCUGUUCCCAGCCUUAAGAUUUUUUUAGUAUUUAUCUCUAUUUUCUUCUUGGAGAUUUCUCAUGGAAUUAUAUACAUAAUGUAUAAUAUUAUAUAUGCAUAGACACAUAUAAUAUUAUAUAUUCACAUACACAAAUAUAUAAACAUAUAAAUAUAUACAUACAUGUAUAUAUAACUUGGAAUUUAUUUUCAUCUGCAGUAGCAGAUAAAGAUAAAAAUAUUUCCAGGUAGUUGUAUUCAAGUAUAUCUAAAGUCAAGGGGCAAUGAGAUGAGAAUUUAGAAAGUCCACUAAACCUUGUAAUUAAGAGAUUAUUAUUGAUCAUAUGGAAAAUUAUUCACAUGAGGGAUUUUGACACUUAAAUGGUGCUCCUCCUUCCCUUCCCAGUUUUGGUCUUAGAAAAUAAGGGGCUAGGAGCAUAGAAAUCGGAAACACGCGAUAAUGGGCGCCUUGGCCUCAGAGAGGACUAUAAAUAAGUACAGUAUUUGAGAAGUAUUUUAGGGAAUGGUGAAAUUUAAAGAGCUAUCUUUCAUCAGUAGUCAUAAGAGUCACAGAAGCAGGAAUCAACUCAUCCAGCUGUUUGUCCAGUGCCUGGCACAUAGUAGGUGCCAGCAUUUACUGAUUUCUUUGCUGGGUAUUAGAGCCUAAUGACAAGCUUAAACAAUAUUGCUCAAGCCUGGUCAGAAAUAGAGUUUCAGAACUUAGCAACUUUUGGAAGCUUGAGAUUUACUUUUAUUGACAUGAAAAUUUGAAUGUAUAAUAAAAAUAAUUAACUUUCUAAUAUUAAGACUGUACUUGGUGGUAGAGUGCUUGUUAGAUAUAUAGAAUGUAUGAGAUUCUGAGUUCAGUUCCAGGCAGGCAGGCAGGCAGGCAGGCAGGUGUGCGCUCUUUUCAUGUGAGCCCUGCUUGAGGUCUGUAUUUUCAUAGUGCUGCCCAUCUCUAGCUUUGAUACCUUUUGUGGUGUGUGAGUUCUUCUUUGAUUAUCCUGUGUUAAAAAUCCAAAUGUUAAGGCUUUUGUUAGAAUUUGUGUCAGCAAUAAAAUCUUAACAAGUUCUAAUGAGAAUAUUAAGCAGUCCAGAUUUCGGCUCUGUGCCUGUGCUUUUUCAUAAGGUGAGUAUUUAUUUAUCUUGAGCUCGCUGUGAUUGAUCUAUGAGCUGCCUUAUCUGACUUGUUUCCUUAGUCUCUGUGAUCUCAGUGAUCCAAAAGACUCAGUGUCAUGUUAAUGUAGUGCAGGUAUUUAACUUUAGUAAGGCUUAAUAAAGUUCUUAUGUAAAGUUUUCAAGUUAAGACAAAAGAAAUGUAUGCAUUACUAAAAUAAUUACAGUAUUAGUAAAGCGAAAUAUGGCCAUCAAGCAUUUCUGUUAAGAUUCCUUUCUUGUUUUUGUUUCUGUUUUGUAGACAUACAUGUUAGAUGUGAAAUGAAUUAGAAAGAUAUGCAGUGCUCUAGAACGUGACCAUGCCGUUUUUCUUUUAGGGUGGGGAAUGAAGACCAGCAGCCAGAAGUUCCAAUUCUUUAUCAUGAUGUGACAUCCCUUCUGCUCAUCCAGAUCUUAAUGAUGCCACAACCCUUACGUAAAGGUAGGUCUUUAAUUCAGACCCUCAGAUUACUUUUGGAAUAUUCUAGAGAUUCUAGGGGACAAAUAGGACAUCCAGGCUGACAGAAUGACCGUGAGAAUGAUGGAGAAAAGCUUUAACUAAGCAGUGAAGACCAACCUUAGAUGUGGCAGGCCGCCGUGCAUAGACUGGACCCCUAACUGAAUCUAGCAGAGGAAGCCAGCUGUGCACUGCUGUUGCGUCCCCCCAGUCCUCUCCCACUGCUCCUUCCUUACAGAUAAUGGGACAGGGUGCCCUGUGUGCCUGCUUUCUUGCUGGGAGGGACUCUUCCUCAAACUGUAAAUCAAGUAAAAUCUUUCUCC